RNAcentral lists this long non-coding RNA (1819 nucleotides) under Glycine max (soybean). RNAcentral describes it as "long non-coding RNA (GMAX_LNC004281)". Lineage: Eukaryota; Viridiplantae; Streptophyta; Magnoliopsida; Fabales; Fabaceae. The record is from RNAcentral.
GCAAAACUUGUGCUUAAUCCAAGCAUCUAUUAUAAUGAAAUGUUCUGAUUUAAUCAAAACAUUUUCUAAGAUGAUUUAAAAUGGAAAUGACCAAGUAAGAUUUAUACUAUCCUAAAGAUUAUUCUGUUUUACAAGCAAGAUUUCUAUUAUCAAUACCCACUAUUGAAAUUAAAUUCCAACCAAAUGUGUUUCUUACAUUUAGGACACUAGAAAAAUCGUGAAGCCAGUUAAAUAGCAAAAGUUCUGGCAUGCGGCAUCCAUUCUGUAAAAAGUACUCCCUCAUAGGGAGUUAUGGUGGCAUCAUCUACCUUUAGCUUCUUGGGUAAAUUUCUUUUGAAGCUUUCACUAGUCCUUCUUUCUUCUUACUUCAUACUUCUCACAUUAUGUUUUAAAAUUCUCUGAAAAAAGAAAUAAAAUAUGCAGGUUACAAAUUUGAUGAAAUUGGAAACAGGGAAGACAACAUUAUUUAUCCGUGAUGGGGUCAAUGAAGUUGGCAUGCUUCAAGAGGCUGAUGAUGGAGUUUGUAUUAACAGUACUGAAGGGAUGCAUUGUCUAGAGAGAUACAUUUGAUUAUACCUAUCUGGGUUGUUCUUUUACCUGACCUUAAAAAUUGAAGAAACUUUUUAAUUUAACUUGGGAAGUAUUUUAAAGAGCUUAUCAAAAUAAACUCUUUUUAGCUUAUUCUAUUAAGUUUCAUGAUCAAAUGCCAUCAGGCUAACAUUUGUUGGGAUAAAAACCUAUCUUUAAGAACCAAUAUUCACAAUAAGCUUGUUCAGCUUGUUUAAUGACAACCAAAAUGCAAUUUAGAUAGAUUGCACCUAAAGUGGGGAAAUUUGAGCCUUGUAAGAAGAAAGUUGGUUGUAAUUUUUUUUGUCGGGUUUGGUGUUCAGUGGAGUGAUGAUCAUAUUUACUCAAUCUGGAGGCUGAGCCCUUUUUAUGAACUCUGAAAUAAGUUCGAUGUGAUUGACAUAUAUGCAUACUACCUUGUGGAUGGAUGUUGGGAAAUCUAAUUAAAACAGUACCUAAUGUGUAAUACCAUGCAUCCAUCAAUUUUAUUGUUCACCUGCAAAUGCAUCCAAUUUUAGUUGCCUAACGAUAUUCUGAAAUGAAGACUCGAUUAUUUUAAUUUUUUUAACCCUUUCAGUGUUGCUUUGUUCUUCCAGCUGAAAAUUGAUCUUAUAAUUGGGGUAGGAAAUGCCAAAUUCAGAAAAAUGUGUGUUCACAUUCAAAUAGAAUUGAUACAAUAAUUACAUAAUUACAACAAUACAAUCAUGCAAGAUAUGCUGGUUUGAAGGACCAACAAAUUUGUGCAAUUAAUGAUAAAUAAUCUUGCAACAAAUUUGUACAAUUAAUGAUUUCUUACAGCAUUUCAAAUCUCAAUUCUGUGUCAAUAUUCUUGGAUGCCAACAACUCACUUGAUCUCAUCACAACCUUCCUGUGCCAGACGAACCACAUACCUCAACCAAUCAUACAUAUAUAAGACUCUAAAACAAAAUUUAUAAAGCAAAACCAAUGGUCAAGCUAUUGAUUUAAGGAAAACAGAGUGCACAUUACACAACUACCAUCAAAAUCAAUGGUCAAGCCUACUGAUUAAGGAAAACAGAGUUUACAAAACACAACUAACUUCAAAAUCAAUGGUCAAAAGCUACUGAUCUUGUUAACUUGUUUUGCACCAACGUGUCUUGCAACUGUAUUAUGUUGGUUCUAUUAAAAAAGACGAAACCAAGAAAAACAACACCUCUUGUCAUUCAAUUUUGUUUCGUUGUGUGCACCCUAAACAAAACAUAAAUAAGCCUAACUUUUUUUUUUUCUUAAAAAA